CCCAUCCCGAACAGAGAAGUUAAGCCCGUUAGCGCCGAUGGUACUGCUAUACCAAGUGGGAGAGUAGGUAGCCGCCAACC
Molecule: ribosomal RNA, 80 nt
Filed under: Bacteroidales bacterium
Lineage: Bacteria; Pseudomonadati; Bacteroidota; Bacteroidia; Bacteroidales
Source: RNAcentral